UCCCAGUUCGGAUCGCAGGCUGCAACCCGCCUGCGUGAAGUUGGAAUCGCUAGUAAUCGCGGAUCAGCAUGCCGCGGUGAAUACGUUCCCGGGCCUUGUACACACCGCCCGUCACACCAUGAGAGUCGGGAACACCCGAAGUCCGUAGUCUAACCGCAAGGGGGACGCGGCCGAAGGUGGGUUCGACAAUUGGGGUGAAGUCGUAACAAGGUAGC
Molecule: ribosomal RNA, 215 nt
Filed under: uncultured bacterium
Lineage: Bacteria
Description: partial 16S ribosomal RNA
Rfam family: Bacterial small subunit ribosomal RNA
Source: RNAcentral